UACGUAGGGUGCAAGCGUUGUCCGGAUUUAUUGGGCGUAAAGAGCUCGUAGGCGGUUAGUCACGUCGGAUGUGAAAACCCGGAGCUUAACUCCGGGCCUGCAUUCGAUACGGGCUGACUAGAGUGUUGUAGGGGAGACUGGAACUCCUGGUGUAGCGGUGAAAUGCGCAGAUAUCAGGAAGAACACCGGUGGCGAAGGCGGGUCUCUGGGCAACUACUGACGCUGAGGAGCGAAAGCUAGGGGAGCAAACGGG
RNAcentral lists this ribosomal RNA (253 nucleotides) under uncultured bacterium. Its description in RNAcentral is "partial 16S ribosomal RNA". It matches the Rfam family "Bacterial small subunit ribosomal RNA", at positions 524 to 776 of the family's 1533-position model. The record is from RNAcentral.